This 552-nucleotide unclassified non-coding RNA is filed under the name Aspergillus fumigatus. RNAcentral describes it as "sequence contains 18S rRNA gene, ITS1, 5.8S rRNA gene, ITS2, 28S rRNA gene". The stretch from base 242 to 395 matches the Rfam family "5.8S ribosomal RNA". Lineage: Eukaryota; Fungi; Ascomycota; Eurotiomycetes; Eurotiales; Aspergillaceae. The record is from RNAcentral.
UGGAAGUAAAAAGUCGUAACAAGGUUUCCGUAGGUGAACCUGCGGAAGGAUCAUUACCGAGUGAGGGCCCUCUGGGUCCAACCUCCCACCCGUGUCUAUCGUACCUUGUUGCUUCGGCGGGCCCGCCGUUUCGACGGCCGCCGGGGAGGCCUUGCGCCCCCGGGCCCGCGCCCGCCGAAGACCCCAACAUGAACGCUGUUCUGAAAGUAUGCAGUCUGAGUUGAUUAUCGUAAUCAGUUAAAACUUUCAACAACGGAUCUCUUGGUUCCGGCAUCGAUGAAGAACGCAGCGAAAUGCGAUAAGUAAUGUGAAUUGCAGAAUUCAGUGAAUCAUCGAGUCUUUGAACGCACAUUGCGCCCCCUGGUAUUCCGGGGGGCAUGCCUGUCCGAGCGUCAUUGCUGCCCUCAAGCACGGCUUGUGUGUUGGGCCCCCGUCCCCCUCUCCCGGGGGACGGGCCCGAAAGGCAGCGGCGGCACCGCGUCCGGUCCUCGAGCGUAUGGGGCUUUGUCACCUGCUCUGUAGGCCCGGCCGGCGCCAGCCGACACCCAACUU